CGUUGCAGCUGCUGCGUUUGCUGCUUAUAUUAUUAUUGUUGUUGCAUGGUGCAGCUACUGCUUUGAGUACUUAUGGCACAGGUGCUGGCUUAGCAGGCGAGGUGAGCUUGGAAAAGAAUAGUCCGAGAAACUAAGGGCUCAGAGCUUAAAAACAAAACGCCGCAGUCCGAAAGCAACAAUGAAUGAAAAAAGCAUAGCAUGGGAGAGGCAUAAAGGAAAAGUCAGAGAUCCAUUGAAAGCAAUGACAAAAGCUGCUCCUGUUGCAGCACCUCGACGUUGCUUAUGUCGUUUGGAAUCACCAACUACCCACUAUCCACCACAAUCACAGCAGGUGAACCGCCGAGCUUCUUGCGUGGCUGUUGUUAAAAAUUUCAUGUUAAUGGCCAUAUGAAGCUUCGCUCUUAACCCUUUACCAUGGGGUGGCAUACAUGUGUGGUUGCCCUCCUCUGUCUCCUCCUCGCCCAAGCUGUCUGUCUGCGUGAGUUAUGUGCACACGCUUCGAGCGGCAAAGCCAAACCAAACCCGUCGUAAAUCUGACCCAGCCACAGAGGAGAGGAAAUUACUUUAAUUAAGGAUAUCUUAUGAAAUGCUUUCUCAUAUUUAUAACCCCCUCGAUAGGGCAGCAGCUGCAGGGGCCGCAUCAGCUAGAAAAAGGUGCACAAUCAAAGACGGAGCAUCGUUAAAAAAAAAUAAAAUCGAAAUAACAAAGCGGCUAUAGCGAGAAGAUAGCGCUGCGAGGUUCGCAGAGAAACGACAAAAUAUAAUAGGGACCCAGAGCUGAGCUGAACGAGGUAAGCAUAUAAUGCGAUUUCCUUGCUGAACUCUCGGUUGGCGCUUGAUUCACUGCUGUCUCUGUCACCUAGCAACCAAGUCCACAAAGGUGACCAACUGGUCAGGCAUUGUUCCAGCGGGCACUGGGAGCUGGGCUGUUGGCUUUGCUUUUGGCUUUGGAUUUACUUAUUUUUGCACAUUGUUUUCGCCCCAAGUGUUUUACCUUUAUUUUGCCUUGACUGUUUGCCAUCUGCGGCGCCUCAACUGUUAGUUUGUUUGGCUGUCCUUUGCAAGGAUAAUCAGAUAAAAUCUUUAGUGUCAUAUGGUCGAAGUUAGUUAAUUGUGAGAAUAGUAGUUGCUUUGGUUUCAGGUGAUUGAAUUAGGCAAAGUUUGACUGCAUUCAAUUGCAAACUAAAAUAUUCAAAGGCAUUCCUCACUAGGCCAGCAAGCAGCAGAUGGGGCGACAUACAACUCAUGGAAACACUUCGCAAUUCAUUUGCAAACACGUACGGCCAAGUCAUUUGGCUCAAACAACCAAUAAAAACAUGCAGCAGAACACACAUAUGCGGACAACACAAGAGGACGGUAAAAAUAACACAAACAACGUUUGUUUUUGCCUUUGCAAUGCCCGCACAGAGUGCUGCAUAAAUGUUCAUGAGUGCUCAUGAAAUAUAGAAAUGUUUAUGAAUUCCGAACGUUACUAACUUCAUUUGCAUAAUCCUUGUGUUUGUCAAGCUAGUAGCAAGUGUCACCUAUCAUAUACAUGACGUCUGACGAAUAGAAAUGCGACGCCCAGUGCCCAACACCCAACACCCGACUGCCUAAAUACUAAACAGAACACAUUACACACACCAUCGAAUUUUUAAGGCGACACUUCUGCAAAUGUAUCGCUAAAGGAGCCAAGCUCAGAUGAACCAUGAACCUCUUUGCCCCAGCACAGAGCUGGCAUCUCAAGCUUUUGAAUAUUGCAUAAUUUAUGCAACACAUUUGACAGCUGCAAAGAUACACGACAAUUUCAUACUGUCUUUUUGGAUGAGCUGGGCACACACCUUAGUUGUUUCGAUAAUAAUUAUUCAUAAGACUGUAUUAAAUGGGCAAAUCAUGCGUUGCUUGACUGCUAAA
Drosophila hydei is the source of this 1893-nucleotide long non-coding RNA. RefSeq lists it as uncharacterized. The record is from RefSeq and is a predicted model, not a curated record. NCBI's taxonomy places the organism in Eukaryota, Metazoa, Arthropoda, Insecta, Diptera, Drosophilidae. The transcript is spliced from 3 exons.